CAUUGCAGGUGUGAUGUAA
RNAcentral lists this non-coding RNA (19 nucleotides) under Mus musculus (house mouse). The record is from RNAcentral. Lineage: Eukaryota; Metazoa; Chordata; Mammalia; Rodentia; Muridae.